Mauremys mutica (yellowpond turtle) is the source of this 627-nucleotide RNA transcript. It is a transcript of the gene named nectin-3-like, with no coding region annotated. The record is from RefSeq and is a predicted model, not a curated record. The transcript has 3 exons. Lineage: Eukaryota; Metazoa; Chordata; Testudines; Geoemydidae.
GUUCUGUGGACUGUGGCUCUCAUGGUGUUUGCAUGGGUGGAACGUGUCAUUGCGAAAAAGGUUGGACUGGACCAGCCUGCAAUCGAAGAGCCUACCACCCUCGCUGUGCUGAACAUGGAACCUGUAAAGAUGGGAGGUGUGAAUGUAGCCAGGGGCGGAAUGGCAAGCGCUCUGGUGUCUUGGCUAAACCAGUUGUUGAGCCACAUGUAAUGGCAGUUUGGGGGAAGAAUGUCACCCUGAAAUGCAUAAUUGAAAUAAGUGGAACAAUAACACAAAUCUCAUGGGAGAAGAUGCAUGGUAAAAGUAAACAGACCAUUGCUGUUCAUCAUCCUAAAUAUGGGUUUGCUGCUCAAGGAGAAUACCAAGGAAGAGUGUCAUUUAAGAACAACUCACUUACUGAUGCAACCAUCACCCUACACAAUAUAAGCUUCUCUGAUUCAGGAGAAUAUGUAUGCAAAGCAGUUACAUUCCCGCUAGGAAAUGCUGAGUCAUCAACGACUGUAACUGUAUUGGAUGCCCCUGAAGUUUCAAUAACUGGGUAUGAUGGAAACUGGUUCAUUGGAAGAGAGCGUGUUCAGCUCCGGUGUAAUGCUAACGCAAAUCCACCACCCACGGACUUUACAUGGA